GACGAACGCUGGCGGCGUGCUUAACACAUGCAAGUCGAACGGAAAGGCCCUGCUUGCAGGGUGCUCGAGUGGCGAACGGGUGAGUAACACGUGGGUGAUCUGCCCCUUACUUUGGGAUAAGCCUUGGAAACUGGGUCUAAUACUGGAUAGGACCAUGCUGUAGGUGGUGUGGUGGAAAGAUUAGUUUCGGUAAGGGAUGAGCUCGCGGCCUAUCAGCUUGUUGGUGGGGUAAUGGCCUACCAAGGCGUCGACGGGUAGCCGGCCUGAGAGGGUGGACGGCCACAUUGGGACUGAGAUACGGCCAAGACUCCUACGGGAGGCAGCAGAGGGGAAGAGUGCACAAUGGGCGCAAGCCUGAUGCAGCGACGCCGCGUGGGGGAUGACGGCCUUCGGGUUGUAAACUCCUUUCAGCCAUGACGAAGCCCUUGUGGUGACGGUAGUGGUAGAAGAAGCACCGGCUAACUACGUG
RNAcentral lists this ribosomal RNA (469 nucleotides) under uncultured bacterium. RNAcentral describes it as "partial 16S ribosomal RNA". It matches the Rfam family "Bacterial small subunit ribosomal RNA", at positions 28 to 507 of the family's 1533-position model. The record is from RNAcentral.